This 244-nucleotide ribosomal RNA is filed under the name uncultured bacterium. RNAcentral describes it as "partial 16S ribosomal RNA". It matches the Rfam family "Bacterial small subunit ribosomal RNA", at positions 528 to 772 of the family's 1533-position model. The record is from RNAcentral.
UAGGUCCCGAGCGUUGUCCGGAUUUAUUGGGCGUAAAGCGAGCGCAGGCGGUUUGAUAAGUCAGAAGUAAAAGGCUGUGGCUCAACCAUAGUACGCUUUUGAAACUGUCAAACUUGAGUGCAGAAGGGGGGAGUGGAAUUCCAUGUGUAGCGGUGAAAUGCGUAGAUAUAUGGAGGAACACCGGUGGCGAAAGCGGCUCUCUGGUCUGUAACUGACGCUGAGGCUCGAAAGCGUGGGUAGCGAA